Molecule: ribosomal RNA, 369 nt
Filed under: uncultured archaeon
Lineage: Archaea
Description: bacterial SSU rRNA
Rfam family: Archaeal small subunit ribosomal RNA
Source: RNAcentral
AUUAUUGGGCUUAAAGCGUCCGUAGCCGGCUUGGCAAGUCUUCCGUUAAAUCCAGCAACCUAAUUGUUGGGCUGCGGGGGAUACUGUUAGGCUAGGGGGCGGGAGAGGCCGACGGUAUUCUCGGGGUAGGGGUGAAAUCUUAUAAUCCCGAGAGGACCACCAGUGGCGAAGGCUGUCGGCUAGCACGCGCUUGACGGUGAGGGACGAAAGCUGGGGGAGCGAACCGGAUUAGAUACCCGGGUAGUCCCUGCUGUAAACGAUGCGAGCUAGGUGUUGGGGCGGCUACGAGCCGCUUCAGUGCCGCAUCGAAGGCGUUAAGCUCGCCGCCUGGGGAGUACGGCCGCAAGGCUGAAACUUAAAGGAAUUGGC